Molecule: ribosomal RNA, 253 nt
Filed under: uncultured prokaryote
Description: partial 16S ribosomal RNA
Rfam family: Bacterial small subunit ribosomal RNA
Source: RNAcentral
ACAGAGGGUGCGAGCGUUGUCCGGAAUUACUGGGCGUAAAGGGCGCGUAGGCGGCCCGAUAAGUCGGGGGUGAAAGUCAGCGGCUCAACCGCUGGACUGCCUUCGAGACUGUUAGGCUUGAGCAUGGUAGAGGCUGGCGGAAUUCCCGGUGUAGCGGUGGAAUGCGUAGAGAUCGGGAAGAACAUCGGUGGCGAAGGCGGCCAGCUGGGCCAUUGCUGACGCUGAGGCGCGACAGCGUGGGGAGCAAACAGGA